GAUGAACGCUGGCGGCGUGCCUAAUACAUGCAAGUCGAGCGAACAGACGAGGAGCUUACUCCUCUGACGUUAGCGGCGGACGGGUGAGUAACACGUGGAUAACCUACCUAUAAGACUGGGAUAACUUCGGGAAACCGGAGCUAAUACCGGAUAACAUGUUGAACCGCAUGGUUCAACAGUGAAAGACGGUCUUGCUGUCACUUAUAGAUGGAUCCGCGUCGCAUUAGCUAGUUGGUAAGGUAACGGCUUACCAAGGCAACGAUGCAUAGCCGACCUGAGAGGGUGAUCGGCCACACUGGAACUGAGACACGGUCCAGACUCCUACGGGAGGCAGCAGUAGGGAAUCUUCCGCAAUGGGCGAAAGCCUGACGGAGCAACGCCGCGUGAGUGAAGAAGGUCUUCGGAUCGUAAAACUCUGUUAUUAGGGAAGAACAUAUGUGUAAGUAACUGUGCACGUCUUGACGGUACCUAAUCAGAAAGCCACGGCUAACUACGUG
This 497-nucleotide ribosomal RNA is filed under the name uncultured bacterium. RNAcentral's name for it is "partial 16S ribosomal RNA". It matches the Rfam family "Bacterial small subunit ribosomal RNA", at positions 28 to 507 of the family's 1533-position model. The record is from RNAcentral.